GGCUCAGAGCGAACGCUGGCGGCAGGCUUAACACAUGCAAGUCGAGCGGGCCCUUCGGGGUCAGCGGCGGACGGGUGAGUAACGCGUGGGAACGUGCCUUCUGGUCUGGAAUAACCCUGGGAAACUAGGGCUAAUACCGGAUACGCCCUUUUGGGGAAAGGUUUACUGCCGGAAGAUCGGCCCGCGUCUGAUUAGCUAGUUGGUGGGGUAACGGCCUACCAAGGCGACGAUCAGUAGCUGGUCUGAGAGGAUGAUCAGCCACACUGGGACUGAGACACGGCCCAGACUCCUACGGGAGGCAGCAGUGGGGAAUAUUGGACAAUGGGCGCAAGCCUGAUCCAGCCAUGCCGCGUGAGUGAUGAAGGCCUUAGGGUUGUAAAGCUCUUUUAUCCGGGACGAUAAUGACGGUACCGGAGGAAUAAGCCCCGGCUAACUUCGUGCCAGCAGCCGCGGUAAUACGAAGGGGGCUAGCGUUGCUCGGAAUCACUGGGCGUAAAGGGCGCGUAGGCGGCGUUUUAAGUCGGGGGUGAAAGCCUGUGGCUCAACCACAGAAUGGCCUUCGAUACUGGGACGCUUGAGUAUGGUAGAGGUUGGUGGAACUGCGAGUGUAGAGGUGAAAUUCGUAGAUAUUCGCAAGAACACCGGUGGCGAAGGCGGCCAACUGGACCAUUACUGACGCUGAGGCGCGAA
Molecule: ribosomal RNA, 690 nt
Filed under: Methylobacterium tardum
Lineage: Bacteria; Pseudomonadati; Pseudomonadota; Alphaproteobacteria; Hyphomicrobiales; Methylobacteriaceae
Description: bacterial SSU rRNA
Rfam family: Bacterial small subunit ribosomal RNA
Source: RNAcentral